GGCUUAGUGGUCUAGUCGUAUGAUUGUCGCUUCGGGUAGUUGAAAAAUAUCCUUCCAUUAAACGUGGAUGUGACAGGUCCCGGGUUCAAAUCCCGGCUGAGCCC
Xylariales sp. PMI_506 is the source of this 104-nucleotide non-coding RNA. The record is from the annotation of a GenBank genome assembly. Lineage: Eukaryota; Fungi; Ascomycota; Sordariomycetes; Xylariales.